GACGAACGCUGGCGGCGUGCCUAAUACAUGCAAGUAGAACGCUGAAGGAGGAGCUUGCUUCUCUGGAUGAGUUGCGAACGGGUGAGUAACGCGUAGGUAACCUGCCUGGUAGCGUGGGAUAACUAUUGGAAACGAUAGCUAAUACCGCAUAAUAGUAGAUGUUGCAUGACAUUUGCUUAAAAGUUGCAAUUGCAUCACUACCAGAUGGACCUGCGUUGUAUUAGCUAGUUGGUGGGGUAACGGCUCACCAAGGCGACGAUACAUAGCCGACCUGAGAGGGGGGUCGGCCACCCUGAGACGGAGACAGGGCCCAGACUGAUGCGGGAGGGAGCAGUAGGGAAUCUUGGGCCAUGGACGGAAGUCUGAGCGAGCAACGCCGCGUGAGGGAAGAAGGUCUUCGGAUCGUAAAGCUCUGUUGUAAGAGAAGAAAGCGCGUGCGAGUGGAAAGUUCAGAGUGUGACGGUGUCUUACCAGAAAGGGACGGCUAACUACGUG
This 495-nucleotide ribosomal RNA is filed under the name uncultured bacterium. Its description in RNAcentral is "partial 16S ribosomal RNA". It matches the Rfam family "Bacterial small subunit ribosomal RNA", at positions 28 to 507 of the family's 1533-position model. The record is from RNAcentral.